AUUGUAGGCUGAAACUCGCCUAUAUGAAGUCGGAAUUGCUAGUAAUCGCGAAUCAGAAUGUCGCGGUGAAUACGUUCCCGGGCCUUGUACACACCGCCCGUCACACCAUGAGAGUCGAUAACACCCGAAGCCUGUGAGCUAACCUUUUAGGGGGCAGCAGUCGAAGGUGGGGUUGAUGAUUGGGGUGAAGUCGUAACAAGGUAGC
RNAcentral lists this ribosomal RNA (205 nucleotides) under uncultured bacterium. Its description in RNAcentral is "partial 16S ribosomal RNA". It matches the Rfam family "Bacterial small subunit ribosomal RNA", at positions 1297 to 1500 of the family's 1533-position model. The record is from RNAcentral.